AGUGAACGCUGGCGGUAGGCCUAACACAUGCAAGUCGAACGGCAGCACAGUAAGAGCUUGCUCUUACGGGUGGCGAGUGGCGGACGGGUGAGGAAUACAUCGGAAUCUACUUUUUCGUGGGGGAUAACGUAGGGAAACUUACGCUAAUACCGCAUACGACCUACGGGUGAAAGCAGGGGAUCUUCGGACCUUGCGCGAUUGAAUGAGCCGAUGUCGGGUUAGCGAGUUGGCGGGGUAAAGGCCCACCAAGGCGACGAUCCGUAGCUGGUCUGAGAGGAUGAUCAGCCACACUGGAACUGAGCCACGGUCCAGACUCCUACGGGAGGCAGCAGUGGGGAAUAUUGGACAAUGGGCGCAAGCCUGAUCCAGCCAUACCGCGUGGGUGAAGAAGGCCUUCGGGUUGUAAAGCCCUUUUGUUGGGAAAGAAAAGCAGCAGGUUAAUACCCCGCUGUUCUGACGGUACCCAAAGAAUAAGCACCGGCUAACUUCGUG
Molecule: ribosomal RNA, 492 nt
Filed under: uncultured bacterium
Lineage: Bacteria
Description: partial 16S ribosomal RNA
Rfam family: Bacterial small subunit ribosomal RNA
Source: RNAcentral